This 1140-nucleotide ribosomal RNA is filed under the name uncultured organism. Its description in RNAcentral is "bacterial SSU rRNA". It matches the Rfam family "Bacterial small subunit ribosomal RNA", at positions 210 to 1382 of the family's 1533-position model. The record is from RNAcentral.
GGAGAGUGUUUGAGGAGGGAUCUGCGGCCCAUCAGCUAGUUGGUGAGGUAACGGCUCACCAAGGCGAAGACGGGUAGGGGGUGUGAGAGCAUGGCCCCCCACAAUGGGACUGAGACACGGCCCAUACUCCUACGGGAGGCAGCAGCGGGGAAUAUUGCGCAAUGGACGGAAGUCAGACGCAGCGACGCCGCGUGGGUGAGGAAGGCCUUCGGGUUGUAAAGCCCUUUUCAGGGGAGCGAGAAAGGACGGUACCCUUGGAAUAAGCGUCGGCUAACUACGUGCCAGCAGCCGCGGUAAGACGUAGGACGCAAGCGUUAUCCGGAUUUACUGGGCGUAAAGCGCCUGUAGGCGGUCAAGUAAGUCGGAUGUGAAAGCCCCGUGCUCACCGCGGGGAAGCCAUUCGAUACUGCGUGACUAGAGAACGGCAGAGGGAAACGGAAUUUCUGGUGUAGCGGUAAAAUGCGCAGAGAUCAGAAAGAACACCGAUGGCGAAGGCAGUUUCCUAGGCCGCAUCUGACGCUGAGAGGCGAAAGCUAGGGGAGCAAACAGGAUUAGAGACCCUGGGUAGUCCUAGCUGUAAACGAUGGAUGCUAGGUGUGGGCCGGAAAGGUCCGCGCCGUAGUUAACGCGAUAAGCAUCCCGCCUGGGGAGUACGGCCGCAAGGCUAAAACUCAAACGAAUUGACGGGGACCCGCCCAAGCAGCGGAGCGUGUGGUUUAAUUCGAUGCUACACGCAGAACCUUACCUGGGCUUGACAUGUAGGUGGUAGUGAAGUGAAAGCGGAGCGACCCUUCGGGGAGCCUACACAGGUGCUGCAUGGCUGUCGUCAGCUCGUGCCGUGAGGUGUCGGGUUAAGUCCCGUAACGAGCGCAACCCUUGUCCUUAGUUACAAGUGUCUAAGGAGACUGCCGGUGACAAACCGGAGGAAGGUGGGGAUGACGUCAAGUCAGCAUGGCCCUUAUGUCCAGGGCGACACACACGCUACAAUGGUCGGUACAAUGGGCAGCGCAGCCGCGAGGUGAAGCGAAUCCCAACAAAGCCGAUCCCAGUUCGGAUUGCAGGCUGCAACCCGCCUGCAUGAAGCCGGAGUUGCUAGUAACCGCGCGUCAGCCAUAGUGCGGUGAUACGUUCCCGGGUCUU